GAUCGUGAGCUGGGUUUAGACCGUCGUGAGACAGGUUAGUUUUACCCUACUGGCCCCGGGGCCAGAGCACGGCGGGCCAGUACGAGAGGAACGCCCGCCGCGGGCCGCCAGCCCCGCGGUUGCCCGGCCGGGCAGCGCCGCGCCGCCGCGCCCGGGGGCCCUGCGCUGACCGCCUCUAAGCGCGCACCCCGCCUCGCGCCCCGCCCGGCCGCGCGCCCCAGCCCCGUGCCCCGUCGCCGAGCGGCCGCCGCCCGGGGAGACCACCCGGCGCGGCGCUCCUGUACGGCGCAGAGCCCUGCGAUCGCCUGAGGGACGCGCCUGCAGAGCGCGGGGCGGGGCGCGCGAUUCACUUGCUCUGGGGGGGCGUGCAUAGGCCAGACAGGCAGGCGCGGAAAGAGAAGAUUGAUGCAGCGCGGGGGACCGAGGGGUAGCCGGAGGGCAGUGCGCGCCCACCACCGGGUCUGCCCUGCACAGAGGGACACCGGCACGCGCAGGGGGCCCGCGUGUGCUGCACAGCGCCGCAGGGAGGCCCGGGGGAGACG
This 542-nucleotide ribosomal RNA is filed under the name Giardia duodenalis. Its description in RNAcentral is "LSU rRNA". The stretch from base 1 to 204 matches the Rfam family "Eukaryotic large subunit ribosomal RNA", at positions 2948 to 3401 of the family's 3401-position model. The record is from RNAcentral. Lineage: Eukaryota; Fornicata; Diplomonadida; Hexamitidae.